CGAAAAAGGAAAAGGAGAGAGAGAGCAAACAGGAGAAUGAGGGUGCUUUGUUUUGGAACUUUCCAGUUCUGUGGGGGAAAAUUAGCAUGAGGCUGGUUGCCUGACCUGCAGCACCGCUUUAUGCGCAUGAGUAAUUAUUAUUUUUGCUAUUAUUUCUCUUUUGUCUCCCUGGACGACUAAAAAGGCGCUGCGUAAGCAGUAAACCCCGGGAUAAGGUCUAUAACGUGGUCCAAAGAACAGAUUUUCAGUCCCGGGGGUUGAAGGUAAACUCCGGAAAGCAGAGCCACAUUGAGCUGUUGCCACAGCAUGCGAGAACCGAAGGACCUCCGUGGGUCACCUCGGGACUGGAGGCCAAGGAAACGCAGCGUUGGAUGCUGGGGCGGGGCAUCAAGGCCAGACUUGGUUCCUUAAACUUUGACUUGAGUCUAAGUGCUGGCGAAGGAGCACUCGAUCCCAAAAUACCGGGGCUUGGAGUUGUGCAGAUGGCGCUCCGCUGGGGCAUCGUGUCCGUCGGCCUCAUCUCCAGCGACUUCACCACUGUGCCGGGCCCGCUGCCCCGCUCCGACCACCAGGUCUGCUCCCCUCCGGGUCCUGGGGGAACGGGCUCCUGGGUCCGGGUAGCGAGGAUCCUACACCACGGCUGUUUCCCCGCUCCCUCCUUUUCUUCUCCACCUCAGUCCUGUAGCCCUAGCCCUGGAGGGUCGGAGGGUCUUAUCCUCCGGCCGGCCGCACCUGCUCCAGCCCCGUGAGUCUGAUCCCGGCGUCCUCCGGGUGGUGGCGGUAGCGGCCCGCGAGCUGAGCCGGGCGCAGGGGUUUGCGCGGAAACACGGCGUCCCCAAGGCGUACGGCUCCCCUGAGGAGCUGGCCAAGGGCCCGAAUGUGGGUGAGUGGCGAGGGUGGCCGGCGCGUCGGCUCCGGGCUGCCCCGUAGGAAACGUGAGGCUCCCCGGGCUAGGGGCCCGCCCGAGGGGCACGAACGGAUUUGAUCUGUCGCGAUAUUCAAUCGAGUCAACCUUCCGCAUCCUUGUGCUUGCGAGGCAGGCGGUAGAACCACUGAACUAAAUCCUCGGCCCAAGUAACACUAUCUUAACAGAGUGGUGCUGCAAGAAAGAAGUUUGAGGUGUACUUCAUACUUAGAGUAUCAGGGAUCGAACACGGGACCUUGUGCUUGCAAGGCAGGCAUGGCGCCACUGAGCUAAGUCAUCUUCUACCUUAGAAGUGGCCUAUAUUGGCACUCAGCACCCUCAGCACAAGGCUUCGGUGCUGAUGUCUCUGGCAGUAGGCAAGGCUGUCCUGUGUGAGAAGCCCAUGGGUAUGAACGCUCCAGAAGUUCGCAAGAUGGUCUCAGAGGCCCAAACCCAAGGUCUCUUCCUUAUGGAGGUGAGGGCCUCAACCAACAUUCACUGUAGCACUGCUUGCCAUUACUAAACAUGGCCACCAGCAGACGUUUUUGGAGAACCAAGGCAUCUUCCACAGUCGAGAUGGCCACAGGAAUGGAGCAGGGUCAGUUGGGGGUAUAGUUGAAUGUACUGGCCACACCCAUUGAGAGCACAAACCAAAGUUCAGUGCUUGCCACUCUAACAGGCCAUGACUCAAAGACAAGUUGUUGAGGCAAAGAGAAAGAGUUGUUUGGAAAGCUAGCAAACUAAAGAAGAUGGAAGCUGACAUCAACCAAGACCAUCUUGUUUAGAGGUUGCAGGGAAAAGGCUUAUCUAGGGAGUUUUGUGGAAGUAGAUCCCAGUAGGAGGGCACCAAGGUAUUUCCAAAUUCCAGAGUAGUUACAGAUUAUGGGGUCUGCUGUUUUGUGUAGGUAACUGGAUGCUCUGGGUUCUGUAAAUCUAAAGAAAGUUACUGACCCAUAAGCACAGCAUUUAGGGAGGCUGAGAUGGGGGAUCAAGUCCUGCCCAGGCAACACAACAAGACUCUGUCUUAAAUUUGUAAGAAGAGUAGGGUUGGGUGUAACUCCAUUGGAGAGAGCCCCUGGUCAAUCCCUACCACAAGGAAGAACAGAGAAAGGAAAGGAGAGAGGGAGGAAGAAAGAAAGGGAGGGAAAAAGAAAGGGAGAAAGGAGGAAAGAAAAAAGAAAUUGAGUAGGAAGUCUCACGGCUCGUCUUUUUAGUUCCUUUUCUGAGGACUAGCUAAUUCUCCAGUGUACCUGGAUAUCAAAGGUAUCCUUUCCAUGGGGAAGAGGGGAAGAUAGCAAAAGGCAACUUUUCUCUGGAAGACCAGGGAAGAUAAAGAAAAGCAAUUUUUCCCGAGGACGGAGGACGGAGGAGUCACAUUCCCUGGAGAAGUUUUUAACCCAUUGUGUAGAGUGUGUCACCACAGCAAAGCUAAAACUAAUAGUGUAUCUUCCAGCUGUGUGACUCCUAAAAUCAGUGAUGGUUUGUUUGUUUUUUGAGACAAAAUCUCACUAUACGGUUUAGGCUGGUCUUGAACUCAUAGUGAUCCACCUGCCUCAGUGCCAUGCCCAGUAAAAUUAGUGAUUGGGGGGUGGGUGUUUUUUGGGGAGGUUUUUUGGUACCAGGUACUGAACUCGGGACCUUGCCCUUUCGAGGCAGGCAGCAGAACCACUGAGCUAAAUUCCCAGCCGAUUUUUUUUUUUUUUUUAAACCCAGGGACUUAGCUCAGUGGUUCCGCCACCUGCCUCAAAAGUGCAAGGUCCUGAGUUCUAUCUCUGGUACCAAAAAAAAUAAAAAAUAAAAGAGCCGUCCUUGUAACACGAUCACUGUGGAAUCCAUUGCAUUAAGCCCUCAGCAAACAUGGCAGGUCUGGCUUGGUUGUGUGGAUCCUUUUUCAGCUGUUGAGAAUGGGCUUAGUUCUGGUCCCUUUCCAGGGAUCAAGAUCAGAAGGAUUAAGGAAUCUCCUUCCAUCCUCAACAUCAAGCAGUCUUUGCUUUGCCUAACCAAAGAGUCCAAGAAAUUCCAGUACUUAGAUUAUGAUCCAGUGUCAGUGGACAGUGCCAGUAGUUAAAAUGGCCACCAAAUGGCACCUGUUAGCUAUUUCCAUGCUGAGAAGUAUUAUGGCCCUAAACACCUUGCUGUAGAUUCUGCCAGUAGUAGCAAUGGCUGCCAUGUACUUCCCCAGUGGCCUGUCUAGGUGUUGCAAGCCCAAGACACAGCUAGCCAAGUUUCAUGUAUCCAAGAGGUAUUUGGCCCAGAUUUUUUUUUUUUGGAGGGUACCAGGGGACCUUGCACUUGCUAAGCAGGCAGCAGAAGCACUGAGCUAAAUCCCUGGCCCAGAUGGCCCAGAUUUAAUGUGGCUACUGUAUAUGCCUCCUCACUGUCCCUUGCUGGUGUCAACAUUGUGCAAGUUUAUUACUUCAUCAUUUUUAUUGGUGCUUUCUAAUCCUGUAAUAGAAAGAGAGGACUUUAAACUAGGGAGAGUCACCUGGCAGGGAUUUAGGAAUGGUUCAUAAACGGCGCAGACAUAACUUGCCUAGUAAAUGAGCCCAAUAGCUGGGAGCUGCUGUUAGGCCAUGGGGAGCAUAGAAAGGUACUGAGCAGGGGUUAGACAGUCAGCUCUCAGGGAAGGAAAGAUUUCUGUGGACCAUCUGAAGGGUGGACAGCAGGGAAGAGGCUGAGUGUAUUAAUGUUCUGAGCCAAGCACAACGAAGUGCCAAGGACUAAGUGAUUUAAAUAACAUCAAUGUAGCCAGAUGUAGAGGUGCAUAUCUGUAAUUCCAGCACUGGGGAGGCUGAGGCAGGAGGAUUGCUUUGAGUUCGAGGCCAGCCUGGGCUACAUGCGAAAAUAAAUAAAAGGAAUGUACUGGUGUCAGAUGCCUGUGAUCCCAGCACUCGGGAGGCUGAGUCAGGAGGAUUGCCGUAUGGUCAAGUCCAGCCUGAGUUAUGGAAAUCCUGUCUCAAAUUCAAAAAUAAAACCAAACCAAACCAACAAAACUACACCUAUGAAAGUGUAAGAAGCACAACUCAAACUGGCCUGGACAGAGGGUGAGACACCCCCACUCCCACCCCCGCCAACUCUGACCUCUGGUUUCCAGCCAGAAAGUUUUCUUUGUCCCUGUUGCCUUCCAUGGUGCUGGUUUCAUAGUUGAAGACACUGUUAAGGGCAGCUGUGACAUGGAGCCAAACAGCCCAAGUGACCUCAGGCAGGGAACAGAGUGGGUAGCAGUGGACCAGAAGCCAGGUCCUAAGUCAAGAGCAACCAGCGACACCUACGCCUUGGUUCUCCGUGUCUUCAAUGACAGAUUUCUAAGAAGAUUUGUGAGCUUGGAAUAGCACAGAGGCAAAGUUUAUUGCAAAAUGGUGGAUUUGCAGAGAGAGAGAAAAGGCCUGAAGAUGGCCAAGCCCAAGGUAGCAGCUGCCCCAACUAAGGCUCAGGCUCCAUUUCUUUGAUUAACCGGGUCCUCUGGGGAACAUCCUUUCCCUCCUCUGAGGUCAUUGUUCCAUGUUGUCAUUGUCAAACAUGAUUUUUCUGCCUCAGCGCCCCCAGUGCUGGGAUUUAUAGGUGUGCGCCACCACACCUGGCUUCAAACCUCUUUUUGUUAAUUUUUUUUUUUUGAGGGGAGUUGAGAUAAGGUCUCACUAUUGUGGCUCAGGCUGGUCUUGAACUCAUAGCAAUCCUCCUGCCUCAGCCUCCCAAGUGCUGAGAUUACAAGAAUAAGCCACAAUGCCUGGGGCUUCAAGCCUCUUUUAUAGGGGUACUAAAGCCUUUCCUGUGGGUCAAGCCUUGAUGACCUACUCACCUCCUAAAAGGACAUGAAUUUGGGGAGUAAUACACGGUCAGGCCAUAGCAAAUGGCAUAGGAGUCAGCCUAAGCACACUGGCUUCUCACUAGAUGUUAGCUGCUGGCCAUUCACUUGGAGGCCCUGCCUUGCCUGUAUUAGCCUCCCCAGCCCCAGACCCUUAUCUGUCUCGCCAGGGAGGGAGGGGAGGGGCUUUGUCCUCACCACCCUCUAGCCAAGGUUAUGAGUGCAGCUCUUUCGGCAAGGUCAGAGCUUGAGCUCUGCCCUUCCCAAUUUAAGGCCAAUGAAGGAGGCCACAGGAGGCUUGGCCCACUGAUAAGGUCAGUGCCUCACUCUAAGCAAGACUUGCUUUCAUUUCUUUUGGAGCAGCAAGUAUAGCCCCUGUAUGACCCACUCCUUGUGAGUGGCCGGGACCUACUGACCUUUUUUUUUCAGUAUGGGGGAUUGAAUUCAGGGCCUUUGCAGUGAACUACAUCCUUGCCCUUUUUAAAAUUUUUUUGUUGUUGUUAAAUUCUUUUAUUGGUACAUUUUAGGUAUACAACACAAUUACAUUUCUUUUUUUUUUUUUUUUUUGUACUGGGGAUCGAACUUGGUUCCUUGCGCUUGCGCAGCAGGCGGUGAAACCACUGAGCUAAAUCCCCGGCCCUACAAUUACAGUUCUCAUUGGGAAUUGUACCUUUACAUAAUGCAUCUUGGUUCUUAUUUUUUCCCCAUUCCUAGCCCUCCCUUCACGCCCUCCACCCUUCCCUAUUUACAAAGAAUUUAUUUCCAUUUUUUCCAUUUCUCAUCAUUUUUCCUUUCCAUCUUUCCUUCCCCCUGCCCCUCCCACUACCCCUACCCCUUUGGACCUUUUCUUCCUAUUUUGCAUUAUCAAUUAUUCAUUCUAGUCAUUGGUACGUUUUAGGUAUACAAUAUAAUGACAUUCAUCGAUUGAAAUUUGCACCUUUACAUAGUCUCUCUUGGUUCUUAUUUUUCACCCUUGCCCAGCCCUCCCUUCAACCCCUCCAUUCCUCCCUAUUUACAAGAUUUUGUUCCUAGUUUUCCAUUUUCUCAUAUUAAUCCCAUUCCCUUCUAUCCUUUCCCCUAGCCCUCCCACUUUCUUCCCCUUUGUCCCUUUUCUUCCUAUUUCACAUUACCUAUUAUACAUUUCAGUCCUUAUUUACACUUUCAGUUUCUCACACCAGAGAAACUAUUUGGUAUUUAUACAUGUGUGUCCUAUGUAUUUCACUUAAGAGUAUGGCCUCAAUGUGCAUCCACUUAGCUAUAAAUGUCUCUAAUUUCUCAUUUUUUAUGGCUUAGUAGUACUCCAUUUUA
This 6017-nucleotide long non-coding RNA is filed under the name Heterocephalus glaber (naked mole-rat). RNAcentral describes it as "lncRNA (ENSHGLG00000049013.1)". The record is from RNAcentral. Lineage: Eukaryota; Metazoa; Chordata; Mammalia; Rodentia; Bathyergidae.